UAAAUGCCGACCAAGUAACACCAGAGUGGUCGACAUUGGGUAGGACAGUGCAGUGCUUGAAAAACAUCGAAAAAGGCAAUACAGGCCGAUAUCCUGUUUGCCACUUAUGUGGAAAUUAUUCACUAGAAUACUCCCAGAGUCAAUGUACGAGCAUCUGGAAAAAAAUGGAGUCCUGCCACAUGAGCAGAAAGGUUGCAAGCGUAAGUGCAGAGGUACCAAGGAUCAACUCCUGAUAGAUAAAGCUGAAAUUAAAUACUGCAAGAGGAGUCA
Molecule: long non-coding RNA, 270 nt
Organism: Octopus sinensis (East Asian common octopus)
Lineage: Eukaryota; Metazoa; Mollusca; Cephalopoda; Octopoda; Octopodidae
Exons: 4
Source: RefSeq, a predicted model, not a curated record